This is a long non-coding RNA of Clarias gariepinus (North African catfish), 268 nucleotides long. RefSeq lists it as uncharacterized. Lineage: Eukaryota; Metazoa; Chordata; Actinopteri; Siluriformes; Clariidae. The record is from RefSeq and is a predicted model, not a curated record. The transcript is spliced from 3 exons.
AGACCAGAAGAGCUUCCACUGGACUGCUGCCUGCUAUCGAGCAGAUCUCUGCUAUCUCAAAAGAGAAAAGACACUCUCUUGUUCUAGGAUGGCCCCAGUCUCAUGGACUUAUCAGAGGAUGCAAGCAAGAGGUGAAACAGGCUUCAAAGGAAGAGUCAAGCAUCAGAAAAGCUAAAGGCAAACGGGGCAAACGGGUCAAACAAUCCUAAGAGAAGGAUCAUAGAUGAGUGAAGUUAAAAAUAGAUUUCCAUAUAUAAUUAGCUUAGCC